RNAcentral lists this long non-coding RNA (1315 nucleotides) under Macaca mulatta (Rhesus monkey). RNAcentral describes it as "lncRNA (ENSMMUG00000056048.1)". The record is from RNAcentral. Lineage: Eukaryota; Metazoa; Chordata; Mammalia; Primates; Cercopithecidae.
UAACAGCUUCAUUGAGAUUUAAUUCAUAUACCAUAACAUUUACCUGUUUAAAAUGUACAGCUCAGUGGUUUUAGUGUAUUCACAGACUUGUGCAACCAUCACUAUACCAAUUUUAGAAAGCUUUAAUCACCCUGCAAAGAAAUCCCAUUGAGGGGGGAAGCACUACCCAUUCCUGCCCUCUACCCCCAUCCCAAGCCCCUGGCAACCACUAAGUGCCUCCUCCAAGCAGUUCAUAUAAAUAGAACCGUACAGUACAUGGGCUUCUGUGACUGGUUUCUUUCACUGAACAUGCUAUUGAGAAUGAGCCACGGUGUGGUAUGCAUCAGUUCUUUGCUCCUUUUGACGGCUGGGCAAUAUCCCCUUGUAUGGAUGGACACGCCACAUGUUUUGAUCCAUUCGUCAGUGGAUGAACAUGUGGGUUGUUUCUACUUUUUCUGGCUAUCACUUUCAGUGCUGUCUGGAUAUAGACCAAUGAGGGUCACAGGAGAACAAGUAGAGGGUGAUUUUUAAACGUGAGUAAAUGAUGCACACAGAGGUGCGUUUUAGGCCAAUGAUGGUGCAUAGUUCACAGUGUGCCCACUGCCAGGCCCAUAUCCUCUUCUGUGUUCUCAAAUCCCUUUUCUAUGGAGAUUAUUCCUUCCCUUCUCAGUUAACUUCCUUAGAUUCCUUAGAUAGUUAACUUCCUUCCUUAGAUAGGCAUCAACAGUGUGCUGUGGGCGAACUCCGCCUUCUGAAAGCUCUGUAACUGGGGCUCUAAACAUCUCGGGUGCAGAGAAGGAUGAGCCUGUUGAGUGUGCAGGAUCCUUUACUCAGCCUUGAGCUUCUGUUCGCUGGCGUUUUACAGUCACUUCAGGCUGGAAGCAAUGCUGUGUGCAGUACUCCAAGUUCACCUGUAUGUGAACAUGGGACACUGAGGAAAAGCGUCUCAACAGCCUGACUUCCUCAGAUAUAUACAACCUCCCCUCCCACUCCACACAAACUUGUUUUUACUCUCCUUGCAGUGAGGGCAACAUGUCAAUCUCUUUUCAAACCCCACAUGGAAAGCCUGGCUACAGUUUUGGUAAUAAUGAGGUACUUUCUCCUCAUUUAUGUUAGCACUCUCACCUACUUAGCCGCAAAAACUCUCAGUAUAACCUUGCCUGAAGAAGUCGCUAAGGAUGCUGGCAUUAUUUGUAAAUCAGUUGCAAAUGGUACUCAGAUAUGAAGUUCUUAUGGGGUCUUCUUUAAAGCUUUGUAUUAUUCUAUGUGGAUAUAAACAGAUAAUUAUUUAUUUUAAAAAUACUCUGUGGGCUGUAAAGGUAAAUGCAUAAAUAAG